Molecule: ribosomal RNA, 492 nt
Filed under: uncultured bacterium
Lineage: Bacteria
Description: partial 16S ribosomal RNA
Rfam family: Bacterial small subunit ribosomal RNA
Source: RNAcentral
AGUGAACGCUGGCGGUAGGCCUAACACAUGCAAGCCGAACGGCAGCACAGUAAGAGCUUGCUCUUACGGGUGGCGAGUGGCGGACGGGUGAGGAAUACAUCGGAAUCUACUUUUUCGUGGGGGAUAACGUAGGGAAACUUACGCUAAUACCGCAUACGACCUACGGGUGAAAGCAGGGGAUCUUCGGACCUUGCGCGAUUGAAUGAGCCGAUGUCGGAUUAGCUAGUUGGCGGGGUAAAGGCCCACCAAGGCGACGAUCCGUAGCUGGUCUGAGAGGAUGAUCAGCCACACUGGAACUGAGACACGGUCCAGACUCCUACGGGAGGCAGCAGUGGGGAAUAUUGGACAAUGGGCGCAAGCCUGAUCCAGCCAUACCGCGUGGGUGAAGAAGGCCUUCGGGUUGUAAAGCCCUCUUGUUGGGAAAGAAAAGCAGCAGGUUAAUACCCCGCUGUUCUGACGGUACCCAAAGAAUAAGCACCGGCUAACUUCGUG